This is a non-coding RNA of Triticum urartu, 71 nucleotides long. The record is from Rfam. Lineage: Eukaryota; Viridiplantae; Streptophyta; Magnoliopsida; Poales; Poaceae.
GUUUCUAUAGCUCAAGGGUAGAGCAUGGUACUGUUAAUAUCGCGAUAGAGGUUCGAGUCCUCUUAGAGACU